Molecule: ribosomal RNA, 867 nt
Filed under: Lachnum virgineum
Lineage: Eukaryota; Fungi; Ascomycota; Leotiomycetes; Helotiales; Lachnaceae
Description: partial large subunit ribosomal RNA
Rfam family: Eukaryotic large subunit ribosomal RNA
Source: RNAcentral
AAGAACCAACAGGGAUUACCUCAGUAACGGCGAGUGAAGCGGUAACAGCUCAAAUUUGAAAUCUGGCUCUUUCAGGGUCCGAGUUGUAAUUUGUAGAAGAUGCUUUGGGUGUGGCCCUGGUCUAAGUUCCUUGGAACAGGACGUCAUAGAGGGUGAGAAUCCCGUAUGUGACUAGGUGCUUUCGCCCGUGUAAAGCUCUUUCGACGAGUCGAGUUGUUUGGGAAUGCAGCUCAAAAUGGGUGGUAAAUUUCAUCUAAAGCUAAAUAUUGGCCAGAGACCGAUAGCGCACAAGUAGAGUGAUCGAAAGAUGAAAAGCACUUUGGAAAGAGAGUUAAACAGUACGUGAAAUUGUUGAAAGGGAAGCGCUUGCAACCAGACUUAGUUGCGGCCGAUCAUCUAGGGUUCUCCCUGGUGCACUCGGUCGUAAGUAGGCCAGCAUCGGUUUGGGUGGUGGGAUAAAGGCCUUGGGAAUGUAGCUUCUUUCGGGGAGUGUUAUAGCCCUCGGUGCAAUGCCGCCUACCUGGACCGAGGACCGCGCUUCGGCUAGGAUGCUGGCGUAAUGGUUGUAAGCGACCCGUCUUGAAACACGGACCAAGGAGUCUAACAUCUAUGCGAGUAUUUGGGUGUUAAACCCAUAUGCGUAAUGAAAGUGAACGGAGGUGAGAACCCUUAAGGGUGCAUCAUCGACCGAUCCUGAUGUCUUCGGAUGGAUUUGAGUAAGAGCAUAGCUGUUGGGACCCGAAAGAUGGUGAACUAUGCCUAAAUAGGGUGAAGCCAGAGGAAACUCUGGUGGAGGCUCGCAGCGGUUCUGACGUGCAAAUCGAUCGUCAAAUUUGGGUAUAGGGGCGAAAGACUAAUCGAACCAUC